AAUUACGGCAAUAAAGAGCGAUCUGGAGCAAUUAGUGGAGCAAUAUGGAGCAAUUUAUUUCAUAUCGCUCAAUGUCAUAUCGCGCAAAUAUUCGAUGGCCACAUCACUCAAAAUUGUAAUGCGCAAUAUUGCUGCUUGUUGCCGCAAAUUGCUUGAUGUAGUCGUGACGUCAAAGUUGACGAGAAUUGACCGGAGUUGAGCAAUUUUAGUUGCCCAAAAUUUUUUCUUCACGCU
Long non-coding RNA from Aricia agestis (brown argus), 234 nucleotides. RefSeq lists it as uncharacterized. The transcript has 3 exons. NCBI's taxonomy places the organism in Eukaryota, Metazoa, Arthropoda, Insecta, Lepidoptera, Lycaenidae. The record is from RefSeq and is a predicted model, not a curated record.